AUGAAGGGGACGGAAGCACGUGGUGAUCUUCAGAAACCUGUGACGUCACUUCCUAUCACUUGGCCUAUCACUCACCCCAGGUUAAGCAAUCCAGAGAGUGACCCCAUGUCCUCCCAGGAGCAAGUCUGCUGCUGCAGCCUUCAAGCAUGUGUUUGCCCCCUAAUAACGCUGGCAGUGGAAAGCACCAGUCAUCUGGGGAUGAGGACACAGGCAGCAAGAAGAUUAAAUGAGAUACUGAACAGAAAAGGCACAGUGCAUGCAUCUGUGGAGGACUCAGUAAGUAGUGUCGUGACCUAAGGGUGUGCCUUUAUUCCUGUAUGUCUUAUUUUAUUUUUUAAUUGAAGCAUAGUUGAUUUACGAUGUUGUGUCAAUGUCUGCAGUACAGCACAUGACUCAGUCAUCCAUAUAUAUAUAUAUAUAUAUAUACACAUAUACUCUUUUUUAAUAUUAUUUUCCAUCAUGGUCUAGCCUAAAAGAUUAGAUGUAGUUCCCUUUGCUAUACAGUAAGACCUCAUUGCUUAUCCAUUCUAAAAGUAAUGGUUUGCAUUUGCUAACCACAAAUUCCCAGUCCAUCCCAUCCCCCCACCCCCCCGCUUUAGCAACAACAAGUCUGUUCUUCAUGUCUGUGAGUCUAUUUCUAUUUUGUAGAUAGGUUCAUUUUCUCAUAUUUUGGAUUCCACAUAUAAGUGAUGUCAUAUGGUAUUUGUCCUUCUUUUUCUGACUUACUUCACUAAGUAUGAUAAUCUCUAGUUGCAUCCACACUGCUGCAAAUGGCAUUAUCUCAUUCUUUUUUAUGGCUGAGUAGUAUUCCAUUGUAUAUAUAUUCCUGUCUAUCUUUUAACAUAAAGCACAUGUGAGAAAGUGUGGCUUGGUGAUGAGUCAUAAACGAUUGCACUUCAGUCAUGCAGUGGUGUUGAGUUGGGGCUGAUUUUGCAAUGUAAAGCCUGCUAAUGCAUAUUUGCAGUUUGUGUUGUUAAUGGACAGAAAUGGUGUGGGUGAGGGAAUAAGUUACUGCAUAAAAAUGCCAUGCCUCCAAGGAGCAGGGUUUAGACGACAAAGGAAUCAUCUAAGGGUGACUGACAGAAAGGUGCCUGUGGGAAUGAGGGAGCUUGUGCCUUGUGCCCUAAGACUGUAUUUGUUGAGAGUUUUUCUCUGGAG
RNAcentral lists this long non-coding RNA (1158 nucleotides) under Sus scrofa (pig). Its description in RNAcentral is "lncRNA (ENSSSCG00040025856.1)". The record is from RNAcentral. Lineage: Eukaryota; Metazoa; Chordata; Mammalia; Artiodactyla; Suidae.